CUACGGGAGGCUGCAGUGGGGAAUAUUGGACAAUGGGGGAAACCCUGAUCCAGCAAUGCCGCGUGUGUGAAGAAGGCCUGCGGGUUGUAAAGCACUUUCGGUUGGGAGGACUGCUUCUAGCACUAAUAUUGUUGGAAGUUGACGUUACCUUCAGAAGAAGCACCGGCUAACUCCGUGCCAGCAGCCGCGGUAAUACGGGGGGUGCAAGCGUUAAUCGGAAUUACUGGGCGUAAAGCGCGCGUAGGCGGCUAGAUCAGUCGGGUGUGAAAGCCCCGGGCUUAACCUGGGAACUGCAUCCGAUACUGUCUAGCUUGAGUACAGGAGAGGAGAGUGGAAUUCCACAUGUAGCGGUGAAAUGCGUAGGUAUGUGGAGGAACACCAAUGGCGAAGGCAGCUCUCUGGCCUGAUACUGACGCUGAGGUGCGAAAGCGUGGGGAGCAAACAGGAUUAGAUACCCCAGUAGUC
RNAcentral lists this ribosomal RNA (465 nucleotides) under uncultured bacterium. RNAcentral's name for it is "partial 16S ribosomal RNA". It matches the Rfam family "Bacterial small subunit ribosomal RNA", at positions 339 to 795 of the family's 1533-position model. The record is from RNAcentral.